This 301-nucleotide ribosomal RNA is filed under the name uncultured bacterium. Its description in RNAcentral is "partial 16S ribosomal RNA". It matches the Rfam family "Bacterial small subunit ribosomal RNA", at positions 509 to 808 of the family's 1533-position model. The record is from RNAcentral.
CAGUCGCCGCGGGAAUACGUAGGUCCCGAGCGUUGUCCGGAUUUAUUGGGCGUAAAGCGAGCGCAGGCGGUUAGAUAAGUCUGAAGUUAAAGGCUGUGGCUUAACCAUAGUACGCUUUGGAAACUGUUUAACUUGAGUGCAAGAGGGGAGAGUGGAAUUCUAUGUGUAGCGGUGAAAUGCGUAGAUAUAUGGAGGAACACCGGUGGCGAAAGCGGCUCUCUGGCUUGUAACUGACGCUGAGGCUCGAAAGCGUGGGGAGCAAACAGGAUUAGAUACCCCGGUAGUCCCUGUCUCUUAUACA